This 253-nucleotide ribosomal RNA is filed under the name uncultured bacterium. RNAcentral describes it as "partial 16S ribosomal RNA". It matches the Rfam family "Bacterial small subunit ribosomal RNA", at positions 524 to 776 of the family's 1533-position model. The record is from RNAcentral.
UACAGAGGGUGCUAGCGUUGUUCGGAUUCAUUGGGCGUAAAGGGUGCGUAGGCGGCUUUCUAAGUUUGAUGUGAAAUCCUGGGGCUCAACCCUGGAACUGCAUUGAAUACUGGGAGGCUAGAGAACUGGAGAGGAGACUGGAAUUUACGGUGUAGCAGUGAAAUGCGUAGAGAUCGUAAGGAAGACCAGUGGCGAAGGCGAGUCUCUGGACAGUUACUGACGCUGAGGCACGAAGGCCAGGGGAGCAAACGGG